RNAcentral lists this transfer RNA (65 nucleotides) under Dipodomys ordii (Ord's kangaroo rat). It matches the Rfam family "tRNA". From Rfam's summary of the family: Transfer RNA (tRNA) molecules are approximately 80 nucleotides in length. Their secondary structure includes four short double-helical elements and three loops (D, anti-codon, and T loops). Lineage: Eukaryota; Metazoa; Chordata; Mammalia; Rodentia; Heteromyidae. The record is from Rfam by way of RNAcentral.
GGUGGCUCAAUGGUAGAGCGCUUGCCUUGCCUGCAUGAGGCCCUGAGUUUGAUUCCUCAGCACCA